Ornithorhynchus anatinus (platypus) is the source of this 531-nucleotide RNA transcript. It is a transcript of the gene named C-C motif chemokine 7-like, with no coding region annotated. The record is from RefSeq and is a predicted model, not a curated record. Lineage: Eukaryota; Metazoa; Chordata; Mammalia; Monotremata; Ornithorhynchidae. The transcript is spliced from 3 exons.
GAGCCACGCUGUGCCUCUGCCCCACCCUCCCUCUUGAGCGCUUGCCGUGCGCAGAGCGGCGUCCCGAGCGCCCGCAAGGAGCCGGGAGAAUUUGGAAGUCAUCCACCAGUCCCCCAAUUGCUGCUACCGGUUCCUGAAGAAGAACAUCACCCACCUGGUCAGGGGCUACAAGCUAACGGCCUCCUCGUGCCCCGAGAUGGCAGUGCAGUUCACGCUGAAGGGGGGGAAGACGUUCUGCGGCAAACUCCAAGAUGACUGGGUCCAGAAAUUCGUGAAGGAGGCGGAGGACAUGAGAAGGAACAAGCACAGCGCUGACAGAGGGUGAAGCACAGCGGCCGAAUCCUCUCCCUGGGCCUCGGGCGAGGGGAUGGGCCAGUACGAGACCAUUAUAUUUAUGGUACCGCCUGCGCCGUUCCCUCUCCCCCCAACCCGGCUGGCUGGACCCAGCCAAGGCCCCCACCUGGGUGCUUCGGUGAUUUAAGCUACAGAUUUUAAGCUCCAGAAAUAAAGGCAGCGGAAGAAUGGUCUAUC